AGCAGCCGCGGUAAUUCCAGCUCCAAUAGCGUAUAUUAAAGUUGUUGCAGUUAAAAGCUCGUAGUUGAAUUUCGGAGUUUGUCGGUUGGUCGGGCUUUAUUGUCCGCACUGACCUGAUAGAUUCCUACCUUCUGAAUAACCAGCAUGCUAUUAAUUUAGUGCGUUGGGGAAGCAGAGCUAUUACCUUGAAAAAUUGAGUGCUUAAAGCAGGCUUAUGCUUGAAUAGAUUAGCAUGGAAUAAUAAAAUAGGACGGCUUGGUUCUAUUUUGUUGGUUUCUAGGAUCACCGUAAUGAUUAAUAGGGAUAGUUGGGGGCAUUAGUAUUCAAUUGUCGGAGGUGAAAUUCUUGGAUUUAUUGAAGGCUAACUUCUGUGAAAGCAUUUGCCAAGGAUGUUUCAUUAAUCAAGAACGAAAGUUAGGGAUCGAAGACGAUCAGAUACCGUCGUAGUCUUAACCAUAAACUAUGACCGACUAGGGAUCGGACGAUGUUAAUUUUUAAUGUACUCGUUCGGUCGCCGUUA
This 520-nucleotide ribosomal RNA is filed under the name uncultured Acaulospora. Its description in RNAcentral is "SSU rRNA". It matches the Rfam family "Eukaryotic small subunit ribosomal RNA", at positions 569 to 1091 of the family's 1831-position model. The record is from RNAcentral. Lineage: Eukaryota; Fungi; Glomeromycota; Glomeromycetes; Diversisporales; Acaulosporaceae.